CAGCACCUCAAGUGGUCAGGAUGAUUAUUGGGCCUAAAGCAUCCGUAGCCGGCGCUGUAAGUUUUCGGUUAAAUCUGUACGCUCAACGUACAGGCUGCCGGGAAUACUGCAGCGCUAGGGAGUGGGAGAGGUAGACGGUACUCGGUAGGAAGGGGUAAAAUCCUUUGAUCUAUUGAUGACCACCUGUGGCGAAGGCGGUCUACCAGAACACGUCCGACGGUGAGGGAUGAAAGCUGGGGGAGCAAACCGGAUUAGAUACCCGAGUAGUCA
This 270-nucleotide ribosomal RNA is filed under the name uncultured archaeon. RNAcentral describes it as "partial 16S ribosomal RNA". It matches the Rfam family "Archaeal small subunit ribosomal RNA", at positions 477 to 747 of the family's 1478-position model. The record is from RNAcentral.